AAUUUUUUAUAUCUCUUUUAGAAAUUUUUCUAACAGGAUCUCUGGCCUUGGUCAGAAAUCCCAA
The sequence is a small nuclear RNA, 64 nucleotides long. Its record names the gene U7. It matches the Rfam family "U7 small nuclear RNA". Rfam says of the family: Animal histone pre-mRNAs are spliced by a different mechanism than nuclear pre-mRNAs and self-splicing introns. The record is from Ensembl.